RNAcentral lists this long non-coding RNA (607 nucleotides) under Camponotus floridanus (Florida carpenter ant). RNAcentral's name for it is "uncharacterized LOC112637640, transcript variant X1". Lineage: Eukaryota; Metazoa; Arthropoda; Insecta; Hymenoptera; Formicidae. The record is from RNAcentral.
GCUUGUAAAUCUUGAAAGAAAGCAAAAAUGGAAUUACCACAAAGUCAGACCAGAUCAAUGCAAAUAAAAUUAUCGCCAUUGGAAUGUGGUUGGACGAGUGUUACAAUGGAUGGCAGAAGCAUUGAAUCAGAUCUUAUUGGAAAAGAUACAUUUGAAAGUUUUGAAACCUGGAUUUUGGAAAACAAAAUGAUAACUUGUAUGACCAGUAAUUUAGCACGUAAGACUAGAAUCAGUUCAUUUAUAGUAACUGGAAAUGGAAAUGGAUUAGCGCGCUGGAUUUGCGUUAUCAAAAGCCAAAGCAUCCCUAAAGACGGUUAAAAAUAGGGCUGGUCAAAGAUUAAUGUAUAUUCCUACAUAUAAGGAACACACUAUGUUACAUGAUUUUUUUACACACUUUGAGAAUAUAAAAAUAUUUGUAAAGAAAAUUCAUGAAGGAUAAUGGGCUUGUUUGUCAUCAUGCGAUAAAAGCAUGUUGCGAGACAAUUGGCAUAAAGGAUAUGUAUGCCAAAGUACAAGGAGGAAUGUAAAAGCAUUCUUUGGUUGGUUUAUUGCAAUAGGUGUGAAUAUAAAGUAUUUAAAGGCAUAUUAUACUUUUUAUUUAAUUUAU